RNAcentral lists this ribosomal RNA (460 nucleotides) under uncultured bacterium. RNAcentral describes it as "partial 16S ribosomal RNA". It matches the Rfam family "Bacterial small subunit ribosomal RNA", at positions 338 to 795 of the family's 1533-position model. The record is from RNAcentral.
CCUACGGGUGGCAGCAGUGAGGAAUAUUGGUCAAUGGGCGCGAGCCUGAACCAGCCAAGUAGCGUGAAGGAUGACUGCCCUACGGGUUGUAAACUUCUUUUGUACGAGGGUAAACGCAGAUACGCGUAUCUGUCUGAAAGUAUCGUACGAAUAAGGAUCGGCUAACUCCGUGCCAGCAGCCGCGGUAAUACGGAGGAUUCAAGCGUUAUCCGGAUUUAUUGGGUUUAAAGGGUGCGUAGGCGGUCGGAUAAGUUAGAGGUGAAAUCCCGAGGCUCAACUUCGGAAUUGCCUCUGAUACUGUUCGGCUAGAGAGUAGUUGCGGUAGGCGGAAUGUAUGGUGUAGCGGUGAAAUGCUUAGAGAUCAUACAGAACACCGAUUGCGAAGGCAGCUUACCAAGCUACUUCUGACGUUGAGGCACGAAAGCGUGGGGAGCAAACAGGAUUAGAUACCCGAGUAGUC